Long non-coding RNA from Brassica napus (rape), 1477 nucleotides. RefSeq lists it as uncharacterized. NCBI's taxonomy places the organism in Eukaryota, Viridiplantae, Streptophyta, Magnoliopsida, Brassicales, Brassicaceae. The record is from RefSeq and is a predicted model, not a curated record. The transcript has 3 exons.
AGCAUCAUUAACGGGGUAUGCAACUCCCGUCUCUUCUUAUUAAUAUCAAUUAAAAAAAAAGAAAAAUAGGUCAAAUAGAAAGAAACGUCGCUUAAUUAGGAGUUAGAAGAGACGGUCUUUUGAGACACGUGUUGACUAAAAAGCGUUCAUCUCUUUCUCUCUUCUCACUCCGUGUCUCUCUCCCUCUCGUCGACCAUUCUCCAAAAUCUCUCGGACAAUACUCGAUGGCGACGAUUCCUCCCCAAUUCUUCAGAGCAAGUCAAAUAUAUUUCUUCUGUGUGUUAGAUUAUGGACGGAGGAGGUGGCGACGGUGGUGGUGCCGCGUACAACCCACACACGGUGGGGGAGGUUUUUAGGGAUUUUAAGGGUCGUAGAAAUGGCAUGAUUAAGGCUCUAACCACUGGUAAUAUUUGGUCAAUCACUCUUCGUUUUGAUUCUUCUUCUUCCUCCAUUGUCGUUAAAAAUCUCAACUUUUUUAUUGUGUGUGUGUGUGUUUGGCUCUGUUUUGCUGAGUGUUGAAUGAUGCAUUAGGGGUUUUGAUAGUUUCUCUGAAUUAUGAGAAAUAAAUGAGUAAAGUUUUGUUUUUUGUUUAUGGGAUUGAUUUCCUCCGAUGAAAGUCUUUGCUUUUUUUGUUUGAGUUGUCUUCCUUGUGCUCUGCUUCUCUGAGUUCUCCUUGAAGGCGGAGUAAAGUUUAGAUUUUUGAAUAUUGAUUUUCAAAAUAAUGUCUUUCUGUGUGAAAUCUAGUUUGGUAGUGUCACAAGUUCUUGAUGAGCAGAAGCUGUGUCAGAUACAAAGAAAGCUAUUGAGUUGGAUCCUGCAUUGGCCAAAGCUUACUUAAGAAAAGGAUGAAUUGGCCACUAGAAGUUGUGGCUUUGUUUCCUCAGCUACUUGGAUACGGCAUGGAGAAGGGAUUGUGCCUAGGUGUAACGUAAUCAAAGCUCUCAUCGCCAAAGGGUUGCUUGGAAGUGAACUCCCUUCGAUUCCAUGUGUCUUGGCAUAUACCAAUGAAGCCUUCUUAAAAAGUCUAAUCGAAGCUAAAUGUGGUUGAGGAUAAAAGAUACCACAAGUCUGAGAGCUGCUCGAAUCGCUAAUGCUUCUGCCAUGAGAGGGAGAAGCUACAUGUUCUUGGAAGAAACAUCCUCUAGCUUAUCCCCGAUGAUGAUUGGUCAGCAAAAAUCCAAUACCAUAUACUCUAAACGUUAGGGCAUAUCUUAAUUGAUGUACCAAUAAAAGUGUAUUACGAGUACGAACUACGGAUCGAUACGUGUCAAGAAAAAAGGUUACUGCUGACGCAAAACAAGAUCUAGUAUUUAUAAAAGUAAAUAUAUUAUAGGUUUAAAGCUGAGCUUUAAAAAGGGGGCCUAAUUUGCCAUAGCAGCACAACUUUUGUUUCUCUCGCAUUUCCUAUUUUUUUAUUUAUGCUCUUUGAGUACGGACUUACAAAAUUUACAGCUAUAAAACGUGAGUUUAUCUUCAA